CGCUUCCUGCCCACAACAGUAUAGGAGGUCCCGCCUGCCCUGUGACCAAAAGUUUAACGGCCGCGGUAUUUUAACCGUGCAAAGGUAGCGCAAUCAAUUGUCUUUUAAAUGGAGACCUGUAUGAAUGGCAUGACGAGGGUUUAACUGUCUCUUUUUUUUGGUCAAUGAAACUGAUCUGCCCGUGCAGAAGCGGGCAUAUCUUCACAAGACGAGAAGACCCUAUGGAGCUUUAGACGCCCACCAACUAUGAAAUGCAGCCGAGCCAACGGAGAUCCAAACAACAUAGCCCUGGCACAAACGUCUUCGGUUGGGGCGACCACGGGGGAAAACAAAGCCCCCGAGAGGACAGGGGAAUUCCCUGAAACCAAGAGUCACACCUCUAAGUCACAAAACAUUUGACCGAAUAAUGAUCCGGCUCAUGCCGAUCAACGGACCAAGUUACCCUAGGGAUAACAGCGCAAUCCCCUCCCAGAGUCCAUAUCGACGAGAGGGUUUACGACCUCGAUGUUGGAUCAGGACAUCCUAAUGGUGCAGCCGCUAUUAAGGGUUCGUUUGUUCAACGAUUAAAGUCCU
Molecule: ribosomal RNA, 573 nt
Filed under: Potamothrissa obtusirostris (bluntnosed sawtooth pellonuline)
Lineage: Eukaryota; Metazoa; Chordata; Actinopteri; Clupeiformes; Clupeidae
Description: partial 16S ribosomal RNA
Rfam family: Bacterial large subunit ribosomal RNA
Source: RNAcentral